ACGUGGCUGGUGUAAUGGUUUAGCAUAUGGGUGCUCCACACCUAGGAACUGGGUUCGAUUCCCAGGCUGCGUA
Molecule: non-coding RNA, 73 nt
Organism: Tritrichomonas musculus
Lineage: Eukaryota; Parabasalia; Tritrichomonadida; Tritrichomonadidae
Source: the annotation of a GenBank genome assembly